This is a long non-coding RNA of Poecilia latipinna (sailfin molly), 290 nucleotides long. RefSeq lists it as uncharacterized. The record is from RefSeq and is a predicted model, not a curated record. The transcript is spliced from 2 exons. NCBI's taxonomy places the organism in Eukaryota, Metazoa, Chordata, Actinopteri, Cyprinodontiformes, Poeciliidae.
UGGCCGAACAUUCAAAGUGUAUCUUACUCUAAAUAUUCUUGCUGCUGAUAAAGCUGAUGGGAGCUCCUACGAAGUAGUCAAAGGCAUACCAGCUCUGGUGGAAGUGACAGGGGACAUGUCUUUGCACCACUUGGCUCUGAGUUGUGAUGAACUCACUUUGUCAGUUUGUGGGACAUCCGAGGAGACCGGUUUGUCCAUCGCAUUUUAUGAUGUCCGAACCUUUAUAAACAAGGUAACUGCUUAAAUGUUUGUUUUAAAAACUCUACCGUUAGUAUUUUGUGAUUAACAAA